GAUGAAGAACGUAGCGAAAUGCGAUAAGUAAUGUGAAUUGCAGAAUUCAGUGAAUCAUCGAAUCUUUGAACGCACAUUGCGCCCGCCAGUAUUCUGGCGAGCAUGCCUGUUCGAGCGUCAUUUCAACCAUCAAGCCCCAGGCUUGUGUUGGAGCCCUGCGGCUGCCGCAGCCUCCCAAAACCAGUGGCGGGCUCGCUAUCACACCGAGUGCAGUAGUUUACUCUUCGCUCAGGGCGUGUGGCGGGUGCUAGCCGUGAAACCCCCAACUUCUCAAGGUUGACCUCGGAUCAGGUAGGAAUACCCGCUUAACUUAAGCAUAUCAAUAAGCGGAGGA
RNAcentral lists this unclassified non-coding RNA (334 nucleotides) under soil metagenome. RNAcentral describes it as "partial contains 5.8S ribosomal RNA, internal transcribed spacer 2, and large subunit ribosomal RNA". The stretch from base 1 to 120 matches the Rfam family "5.8S ribosomal RNA", at positions 35 to 154 of the family's 154-position model. The record is from RNAcentral.